UAGUAUUAAAGGUCACACCUGCCCAGUGAAAACUUUUAACGGCCGCGGUACCCUAACCGUGCAAAGGUAGCGCAAUCACUUGCCCUUUAACUGGGGGCUAGUAUGAACGGUCCAAUGAGGGCCCAACUGUCUUCUGAGGCCAAUCAAUGAAAUUGAUCACUCAGUACAAAUGCUGAACUAACCACACAAGACGAGAAGACCCUGUGGAACUUUAAAUUAAGUGUGUUUUUAACACUAGAAACCUAUAAACUACCUAACAUAAAAAUUUUAAGUUGGGGCAACUAUGGAGCACACCAGAACCUCCACGAAACAUGACUAACAAACACCCUAAGGCCAACAAGCCGUACAACCACACAAAGACCCAGUAAAACUGACUCCCGAACCAAGCUACCCCAGGGAUAACAGCGCCAUCCCCUUCAAGAGUCCAUAUCGCCGGGGGGGUUUACGACCUCGAUGUUGGAUCAGGACCCCCAGGCGGUGCAGCCGCUGCCAAAGGCCCGUUUGUUCAACSGAUAAAGUCCU
Molecule: ribosomal RNA, 522 nt
Filed under: Lygodactylus laterimaculatus
Lineage: Eukaryota; Metazoa; Chordata; Lepidosauria; Squamata; Gekkonidae
Description: partial 16S ribosomal RNA
Rfam family: Bacterial large subunit ribosomal RNA
Source: RNAcentral